AUUGAACGCUGGCGGCAGGCCUAACACAUGCAAGUCGAGCGGAUGAAGGGAGCUUGCUCCUGGAUUCAGCGGCGGACGGGUGAGUAAUGCCUAGGAAUCUGCCUGGUAGUGGGGGAUAACGUCCGGAAACGGGCGCUAGUACCGCAUACGUCCUGAGGGAGAAAGUGGGGGAUCUUCGGACCUCACGCUAUCAGAUGAGUCUAGGUCGGAUUAGCUAGUUGGUGGGGUAAAGGCCUACCAAGGCGACGAUCCGUAACUGGUCUGAGAGGAUGAUCAGUCACACUGGAACUGAGACACGGUCCAGACUCCUACGGGAGGCAGCAGUGGGGAAUAUUGGACAAUGGGCGAAAGCCUGAUCCAGCCAUGCCGCGUGUGUGAAGAAGGUCUUCGGAUUGUAAAGCACUUUAAGUUGGGAGGAAGGGCAGUAAGUUAAUACCUUGCUGUUUUGACGUUACCAACAGAAUAAGCACCGGCUAACUUCGUG
This 484-nucleotide ribosomal RNA is filed under the name uncultured bacterium. RNAcentral describes it as "partial 16S ribosomal RNA". It matches the Rfam family "Bacterial small subunit ribosomal RNA", at positions 30 to 507 of the family's 1533-position model. The record is from RNAcentral.